GACGCUCAGUGUUGGACGAGGCUCGGUAUUCCUUCCAAGAUCUGGGUCACCUAUUUCAAUUUUCAUGGUGUUGACCCAUUUCGAUUUUCAUGUGCAUUCGUUGAUGAGGAGGUUUGGUGGAAAGUUAUUUUGAUUCCCCGUUUCUAAAAGGAUAGAAACGAACAUGGAGCAUACACUAUUGUCUAAGCUAAAGGAAGGACAACGGGGUUACAAGAUCAAAGCCCGAGUUGUCAGAAUCUGGAAUUCUAUAAAUCCAACAUUUCAAGACCAACUCAUGAGUAUCGAUUUCCUAUUAGUUGACGAAGAGGUAAAUAGAAAUCAUUAUUCGUCAGAAAUGUUAGCAAACAUAUAUACAAUAACCAUAUCUUUAAAAUAAUGUCGUUUAAAAGAGCUUACAAAAACUUUAACAUGGUAUA
This is a long non-coding RNA of Tripterygium wilfordii, 416 nucleotides long. RefSeq lists it as uncharacterized. The record is from RefSeq and is a predicted model, not a curated record. The transcript is spliced from 3 exons. Lineage: Eukaryota; Viridiplantae; Streptophyta; Magnoliopsida; Celastrales; Celastraceae.